GUAGGUGAACCUGCGGAAGGAUCAUUAAAGGUUUCCGUUCGGACUCUUUUUUACAAAGAGUUCCGGCGGCCAACGAUCAACCACUGUACGCACAUAUCGAAAUUUUAAAAUGCUUUGGUAGGUCUCCUUUCGAAAUUUAUUUUUCGGAGGAGUCUGCCAAGGGCGUUUACCCACAAAAUCUACCUUAUUUUUCGACUGAAAUUUU
Molecule: unclassified non-coding RNA, 205 nt
Filed under: plant metagenome
Description: partial contains small subunit ribosomal RNA, internal transcribed spacer 1, and 5.8S ribosomal RNA
Source: RNAcentral